GUUCAAAUUUUUUAUACGACCGCAAAAUUUGAAAAAUUUUUCGUCGUAUAUUGCUAUCACGUUGGCGUCUGCGUCGUCGUCGUCGUCGUCGUCGUCCGGCGUCCGAAUACUUUUAGUUUUCGCACUCUAACUUUAGUAAAAGUGAAUGGAAAUCUAUGAAAUUUUAACACAAGGUUUAUGACCACAAAAGGAAGGUUGGUAUUGAUUUUGGGAGUUUUGGUCCCAACAUUUUAGGAAUUAGGGGC
Molecule: long non-coding RNA, 245 nt
Filed under: Mytilus galloprovincialis (Mediterranean mussel)
Lineage: Eukaryota; Metazoa; Mollusca; Bivalvia; Mytilida; Mytilidae
Source: RNAcentral